GUGGGUAUAGCUCAGUGGUAGAGUAUGUGAUUAGCAUGCAUGAGGUCCUGGGUUCCAGCCCCAGUACCUCUG
This is a transfer RNA of Camelus ferus (Wild Bactrian camel), 72 nucleotides long. It matches the Rfam family "tRNA". From Rfam's summary of the family: Transfer RNA (tRNA) molecules are approximately 80 nucleotides in length. Their secondary structure includes four short double-helical elements and three loops (D, anti-codon, and T loops). Lineage: Eukaryota; Metazoa; Chordata; Mammalia; Artiodactyla; Camelidae. The record is from Rfam.